GUAUUGGUGGUUCAGUGAUAGAAUUCUCAUCUUCCAUGCAGAAAGCCUGGGUUCAAUUCCUGGCCAAUGCA
Molecule: transfer RNA, 71 nt
Filed under: Loxodonta africana (African savanna elephant)
Lineage: Eukaryota; Metazoa; Chordata; Mammalia; Proboscidea; Elephantidae
Rfam family: tRNA
About the family: Transfer RNA (tRNA) molecules are approximately 80 nucleotides in length.
Source: Rfam by way of RNAcentral